GGGGGGGGGGGGCUAACACAUGCAAGUCGAACGGCAGCACAGAAGAGCUUGCUCUUUGGGUGGCGAGUGGCGGACGGGUGAGUAAUGUCUGGGAAACUGCCCGAUGGAGGGGGAUAACUACUGGAAACGGUAGCUAAUACCGCAUAACGUCGCAAGACCAAAGUGGGGGACCUUCGGGCCUCACACCAUCGGAUGUGCCCAGAUGGGAUUAGCUAGUAGGUGGGGUAAUGGCUCACCUAGGCGACGAUCCCUAGCUGGUCUGAGAGGAUGACCAGCCACACUGGAACUGAGACACGGUCCAGACUCCUACGGGAGGCAGCAGUGGGGAAUAUUGCACAAUGGGCGCAAGCCUGAUGCAGCCAUGCCGCGUGUAUGAAGAAGGCCUUCGGGUUGUAAAGUACUUUCAGCGGGGAGGAAGGCGGUGAGGUUAAUAACCUCGCCGAUUGACGUUACCCGCAGAAGAAGCACCGGCUAACUCCGUGCCAGCAGCCGCGGUAAUACGGAGGGUGCAAGCGUUAAUCGGAAUUACUGGGCGUAAAGCGCACGCAGGCGGUCUGUUAAGUCAGAUGUGAAAUCCCCGGGCUUAACCUGGGAACUGCAUUUGAAACUGGCAGGCUUGAGUCUCGUAGAGGGGGGUAGAAUUCCAGGUGUAGCGGUGAAAUGCGUAGAGAUCUGGAGGAAUACCGGUGGCGAAGGCGGCCCCCUGGACGAAGACUGACGCUCAGGUGCGAAAGCGUGGGGAGCAAACAGGAUUAGAACGUGGG
RNAcentral lists this ribosomal RNA (764 nucleotides) under Pantoea dispersa. RNAcentral's name for it is "bacterial SSU rRNA". It matches the Rfam family "Bacterial small subunit ribosomal RNA", at positions 38 to 791 of the family's 1533-position model. Lineage: Bacteria; Pseudomonadati; Pseudomonadota; Gammaproteobacteria; Enterobacterales; Erwiniaceae. The record is from RNAcentral.